GGGGCUGCAGCUCAGUGGUGGAUCAUCUGCUUUGCAUGCAGAAGGCCCCUGGUUCAAUCCCAAACAUCUCCA
Molecule: non-coding RNA, 72 nt
Organism: Podarcis lilfordi (Lilford's wall lizard)
Lineage: Eukaryota; Metazoa; Chordata; Lepidosauria; Squamata; Lacertidae
Source: the annotation of a GenBank genome assembly